UCCAUGGUGAUAGAGGCGGUGCGCCGGGGGGCCUGGAGGCUGCGCUGGGGCCUCCGCGGGAGGAGUCGCUGGGGCACGGGUUGGUCCCGGUUCCGCACGGUGUUUGACUGCUAACACAUGAGAUUCCAGUGCAGAAAGAGUAGUGGAUUUGAUUAUAGAGGACCCAAGAUUGGAGGAAAAAUGGAGAAAAAAUCCAGGGGCAGUUUAAGAUCUUUCAAGACAGAUGCAGCCCAGAAAUUGCAUACUCCCAAAGUCCAUGGAUUUGGACGAUCUGUUACUCCCUGGCUUGGUGGGAAUCAGCGUUGGAAUGGAAGUCAUCUGGUUCCAUAUCGGGUCACAUACACUUGGAACCGAGGUGGGAGGUUAAAAGAACUCCGUAUCAGGCAUCUGGCCAGGAAGUUCCUCUAUUUGUGGGUGAAAAAGACAUUUGGACAAGUUCUUCCUUCCAAAGCCAGAUGUCAUUAUAAUCGGAAGAUUCUGCAAAAAACCUUUGGCGAGUGGAAGGAGGAAUGGUGGAUUGUCUGCAGAGAGUGGAAGCUUAGCGUCAGAGCUGACUGCCAUUACAGAUAUUUCCUGUACAACCUGAUGUUCCAAGCCUGGAAGACAUUUAUAUGCCAGCAGCGAGAAAAGAGGAGCAAAUAUCAUGUCGCAGAGGCUCAUGCGGAGAAGCAGAAACUGCGCUGGACAUGGCAGCAUUGGCUGCUCUACACUGAUGUUCGUAGGACCAAGCAUAGGAUGCGAUCCGAGGCAUUGGUGUUCAGGGAAACAAGCUCUCUGCGCGUGUCGUGGAGAGUGUGGACAAGACGACUGUGCCAGAAGCGUACUGGCCGUGAGAUGAAUACUCUGGCUCUGCAGCACUGGGCCCAGAGCCUGCAGUUUCGGGCCUGGCUACAGUGGAUGGAGCUGUAUUUGCACAUCCAGCAUGACAAGCAGAAGGAGGCCUGGGCUGUGAAUCAUCAUCAGCACUGGGAGCUGAGGAGAUGCAUGAAGGCCUGGCUCAGGCACCUGCAGCUUCAAAGAGAAAAGAAGCAUCAGGACAAGCUGGCUCAGCAACAUCACCAAGUCUCUGUGCUCCAACACUGUUUCUGUGGCUGGCGACGGGCCUGGGAGCACAGGAGAAGCAUGCAAAUCCACCAGGAGUGCAUUGGUGAGUUAGCAGCAAGGAUUACCUUACGGAGAGUCUUCACACACUGGAAGCAUUAUGUUGUACUGUGCAUGGAAGAAACCUGGAAGCACAAGCUUGCAGAAAAGCAUCACCGGCACCAUCUGUUGCGCUUUGGGUUUAAUGCCUUGCGGAAGAACAUUAUAAAUGCUCGUCUCCAGCAAAUGAGAAGAAAUUUGGCUCAUCGGCAGUAUCAAGUAAUGUUGCUGCAGAGCUUCUGGAAUCGCUGGAAGUAUCGGUUAGAACAGGAGGAGGAAGAGCAUCAGCGGUCCCUGACACUAGCAGCUCGCAACCACUACAGGGUAACGCUUCUGCACAAGUCUGUCAGGUUGUGGUUAAGGAAUGCCAAGUGGAGAAGACACAGGCAGACACAAUAUGCCAAAGCUGACAGUCACUAUGGAAGAGUGAUCUUGCCUGUCACCUUCCAGGCCUGGAAGAGGUUUAAGAACUAUCAACGCUGGUGGAGAGAGAUGAAGGAAACGGCAUCAUGCUUUCAUAGGGAAUUGUUGAUGAGACAGGUAUUUGACACGUGGUGGCUGAGUGCAUGUCAGCAUCGAGAGAACCGUACGAGAGAGAGAAUGGCCAUUCUUCACUCUAAGCAGCAGGUGUUGGUUCGUUUCUGGUGCUCCUGGCGCAGGAGAACAGUGGUGUGUUUGGAGGAGCGAGAGCGCACGGCUCUUGCCCAUGAUCAUUACUGCCACCUACUGCUGCAGAAGACUUUCCAUUUCUGGAAGAAGAACAUUCAGGAGAUUAGAUCAGAGAGGAUAAAGAAGGUGAAAGCUCUUAGGUUUCACUAUUCAACGUGCCUGAAGUGGUCUUGGAGCAAGUGGAGAAAGUAUGUGGGACAUCGGUCUAAGAAGUGGAAGACAUUGGUGCGAGCAGACAUGUAUUAUCAGCAUUCACUGCUGGCCAGGGUUUUGGCUGCCUGGAAGAGUUACCAGCAAAACAUACAGUGCAUUUUACGCCAAGUCGAUGAAAAGGAUGAGGAGCGUAAUAGGGCGCUGUUGCGACAGAUGCUGAGUAUCUGGAGAGAAAAUACUGUUGCCCUUGUGGGUGAGGCUAAGAAAGCUGUACAGGCAGAACUGCACUACAGGAGAUCAACUCUCUCAAAGGUGCUACUCCAGUGGAGGGACACUACCUGUCUGCGGGUGCACUGCCGUCAGCAGGAGGCAGCGGCUCUGAGGCAGGCCAGGAGGUGUUUGGAUAUGGUGCAUUUAAGGGCCACGUUUCUUCACUGGAAGGAAUUCACCACGAGGUCCUUGGUGCUGAGAGUCCAGCUAGACACUGCAGCUCAGCACCACCAGAGGCAACUGCUGCAAGAGUGCCUGGCAAAGUGGAAGCAGUAUCAUCUGCAGUGCAUAGGAAAGAUGCUCCUGCAGAGACGGGGAGACCAGCUGAUGACUCAGAGACUCUGCUCUACCUGCUUUUCCUGCUGGAAGAGACAACUGGCGCAGAAGCAAUGGGAACGGCAGGAGACAGUGCGGGCACUGUGGCAUUGGUCACUCUCACUGCAGGGGAAGGUGUUUGAUGCCUGGCUGGGGUUUGCCCUGGAGCGGCAGCGGAAGAAGGGCCGCAUUGAAAAAGCUGUAGCGGUUUACCGUGCUGCCCUGUUGAAGGAGGGUGUGACCCAGAUCCUGACAUAUAUGGCUGGCAUGAAACAGUUACGGGGGCAGCUUCAAGCCCAGCACCAGCUGAAGGCAGCCUACAGCCUUCACCAGACAGUGUAUCGUUGUGCCAUGCUGUGGAAACGAAAGGCUCUCUGCAGGAACCUGGACAAGCCUCACUCUUCUUUGCCUUCUCUGAAGAAGAGGGUGACAUUUAAGAUGCCCAUGCCUGAUGCCAACCCUGGGGCAGGAGGAGACGCAGCAAAGGUAGUGACUCCAUGCUCUAUGCUGCAGCCCAUGAAGAGCGACAAUUUGCCAUUCCUUCUUGCUGCUGAGGAUUUGGUUCUUAGUGAGCUAAACGCAGUCCGCCAGGCAAGACUACAGCCCCGUAGACCUGACUUCCUGCUGCAGUCUCUGGAGAGAGAGGGCUUGUUGGGGAUACCUUUCAAUGAACUGGAGGGACCAGAGGUGCCUUUGCCGCAAACAUCCAUGAACAAACAUCCUGCUCAGGCUGGGGCCUCACUUGCCUCAACUCAUACAGAGCGAAGCAGCUGCAAUCAGCUGUUCCAGAUGGGUAGCACUAGUUACUCCUCAUGCUCCCUUACUGUGCCUACUCCUCUAACCUGUGUACCAUCUUGGACACAUGGCACAUGCCAUCCUGCUCAGACUAGUCCAAAGCCAGUGCUGUUGCCUCCCUCGUCCUUCAUGUCACGUUUGAGAUGUGAAUCAGAAAAGAAUAAGGGUCAGCCCUUGAAGGGUCACCUGGAAACUUUUCUCCAAGACCCUCAACAGGCCACUGUGGGGAAGGAGAGGAAGCAGCCAAACUCGCAGGCACAUCUGCUGCAGCCCGAAGUUGCCACAGGAAAAGAGAACAGGCCAAAAACUGCAGUUAAGCACACAAGUGGGAUAGAUCUUUCAGGCUCCAGUUAUUAUAACAGAGGCAGCACAUCACAUGAUAGCAAUGAGAACCCACAGGCAUGGCACAGUGCUGAAAGUCAGAGGAGGCAAGGCUAUUCCAUGGAGAGAACAGAGCUGCAGAAACAGCUGGAAGCAGAGCUCCAACACAUCCAACAGCAAAUGCAGCAUUACUACGAUAGCAAGCAGGAGCUCAAGUCAUGCCGGCGGCAGGCGCGCAUUCUGCACAAGUGGCUAGAAAUGAGUACCGGGGCAGUGGAGCAAGAUGUUGCGCAGCAAAUUCAAGAAGAGCUGGAUCAGUUGGAGGUGCAGAUCAAAGCUCUCACUAAAGUGCUGCUAGAAGGGAGACAUUGUCUGCAGAGCUACAUCACCCGCGUGGAGGACAUUCGCACUGCUUUGGAUAUGUAACAAGUCUAAAACCUUGGAAUGGUUGUUCAAGCUCAGUGGUAGGAUGGGCUGGCUGUUCGAUCUUUGAUUAUGUGCUUUGAUGUCAAAGAGGACAUACACCUAAUGUAAUUAAAAAAAUGAAUUUCCAUCUGCUGGACUAAGGAGCAUGACUGCGAAGGAGAGGGCAAAACUCCAUAACCAAUUCAAAUCAAGUAUUUCCCAUUUAGCAGCCUUCCCCUCCUCAUUCCAUGAAAACAUACAAUGGAGCGUAAGCCAACAAAGAAGGUACCUGAAAGGCAGUGGGAAAACCUGACAGUAUGCUGUGUGUGUACCUGCUCACCUGGAAUCCUGUUUACACGUUUGAAAUUCUUUGUGCAAUUCCCCCCUACACAAAUAAAUCCUUCAGUACUAGUCUUGUCUAAAGCUAAAUCUAUGCUUGCAGCUCAGAACUUAACAGCAAUCCCAAAAAACCCAAGCCAGGGUAUUAACACAAUGGAAUAAAAACAGUCGGGUAAGGAAAUAUUCCAAUUUCACACUUCCAAUGAACAAUGAAAAAAAAAUUUUUUUUAACUAUGAAAAAUACCUUAGGGUCCUUUUAAAUAAGACUACUCCCCAGAAACUUACAAGUCCCAUGUAUGGUACGUAAAGCCACAAAAUAUUUUACUAACCUAUUCUAAAUAAGCUCAAGCAGGUUGGGAAAGGGAAGGAUGGAGGACAGAUCACAGAUAGAUUCCUCACAAACUGUUACAGUCCAAACUGUUCACAUCUGGACUCUUCGGACCAAAUCCAAUUUGGGUCCCAAGUAAAGGUCAGUUUAGGAAUUUCAGUCUAGUCCCUAAUAUACAUAUGUCCAAAACACAACUGACCAAGCACUCAGAAAUGGAAGAGGAACAGAAGGAUGCUACAGGUGAGACUGAGGCAGGGGAGCAUGUCCUGCACUGGCACCAGACCCUCAUUUUCAGAAAUGCCAAAUUUACUCAAAAACAGAAAACGGGGUGGGGUGAAUAAAGUAGUUUGUAACUAGCUGCCUGUAUGUUCUGCAGCAAAAGAAACCUAACAUAUAUAUUAUGAACUGUUUGGUCAAUGUGGAACUGUAUAUUGUAUUUAAUGUUCUGUAAUCAUCUGUUCAUUAAACAGGGUUGUGUAUUUUUUUUUAAAUGGGUCAUUUAGGGUACUACAGAACACGUCCAUACACCUGAUAUUCAUACUUCAGCUUCACAACAACUUAAAGACAAAGUGACAACACUAAAGAUCUACAAUCACUAGAGUAGAGAAGGAAUCACCUUUGAAGGGACAAGCUCUUCUUAAUGGUGUGGAUGAGCUAGAAUCAUUAGAGAUUAAGAUGAUAUUCUUCUGCAGGAAAUAGUUCUCAGCAGAUGUUCACAAGGGAUCUAGAUAAGAAUUGCCUUCAUACUAAUUCUGAAUAGUAGUCAUAUUUGCAUGGUACACUCCCUAUCCAAGAAUCUCAAAGCUUUUCACAAAUAUUAAUUUAGCCUCAACUUUCUUGUGAGACAAACAAGAAUUACCCAUGCUUUCACAGGGGAAGAAAUGAACGCAUAGAGAGAAUGUGUGACUUGCCAAAGAUCAUGCUACAACUCAGUGGCAGAAGUGAGAACACAACAAGUAAUUCCUGAUUCCCACUCCUUUGUUUACGAAUUAGACAGAGCAAUCUCCUUCACAUGCUGUAGACACAUUUGUUAUCCAGUAGGAUAAUAAACUCAUCACAAAAUAUUUUUCAAUGCUUUUAUAUGUAACUGCAGAAGGCCACUACUGUAACAUAUAUAACAAGGGUCGGCAACCUUUCAGAAGUGGUGUGCCAAGUUUUCAUUUAUUCACUCUAAUUUAAGG
Molecule: RNA transcript, 5916 nt
Organism: Gopherus evgoodei (Goodes thornscrub tortoise)
Lineage: Eukaryota; Metazoa; Chordata; Testudines; Testudinidae
Gene: SFI1
Gene name: SFI1 centrin binding protein
Exons: 36
Source: RefSeq, a predicted model, not a curated record